CAGUUAAUUCAAAAUUGUGUUUAUUAUUAGCUGGUUUAUUAUGAAUAUGUAAGGAUGUCGUUGGAUCACUCACUUACUGUUUUUCACUAAGUUUACUUGGCCAGUUUUUGAAGAGUUAGAACAGUUUUGCUACUGUUAAGUGGUAUAGUAAAUUAAUAGAGUUUAUUCCCAAUAAUCUCAAUUCAAACCCUAGUCGUUAGUUAAAAGUUUGGGUACUAAAGUAAUAUUUUGUAGGUUAAGUUUUUCUGUUGAUUCUGCAAAAUUGAACUUCGUUAUUGCUUUAAGAUUGAAUUCUUUACAAGAGACGGACGUUCCGUUGAAUAUUCAGGAAGAAGGACGUUGGUGAGGCUGAUCAUCAUGUUGCUGUCAAUUUCAGUUGUGAAGGAAUGAAAGGGGAGAGAGCGUUGAACAACCUUUCAAUUUUCAAGGUUUUGGAAUGUUUACUAGCUGCAUCAUGUCCAAAAACCUUUCCUAACAAAAUUUAUGAAGGAAGAGUAAGAGAGUGGUUUACACAAGCUGGAACAAAAAUGGCAAGUAAAAACAAGAGGAGAUCAUUGUAGUCUGUGUAAAUGAUUAAUUUUUAUAAUAAAUCUUUAUUUAU
Long non-coding RNA from Macrosteles quadrilineatus (aster leafhopper), 601 nucleotides. RefSeq lists it as uncharacterized. The record is from RefSeq and is a predicted model, not a curated record. NCBI's taxonomy places the organism in Eukaryota, Metazoa, Arthropoda, Insecta, Hemiptera, Cicadellidae. The transcript is spliced from 3 exons.